GGUUGCAAUCAUAUUAGCACUAACACACUAGAUCUCAUAAGAACUCCGAAGUUAAGCUUGCUUGGGCAAGAGUAGUACUAGGAUAUGUGACCCCCUUGGAAGUCCUUGUAUUGCUUCAG
RNAcentral lists this ribosomal RNA (119 nucleotides) under Musa acuminata subsp. malaccensis (wild Malaysian banana). The record is from RNAcentral. Lineage: Eukaryota; Viridiplantae; Streptophyta; Magnoliopsida; Zingiberales; Musaceae.